CUCUUCCCACCCCGCAGACUCAGCAGCUGGAUUAGCCCUCGGCAGGCAGGAGAGACUGGAGCUACUGGGUGAUCCUGACGAGUGAAUGUCACGGAAUGAGGGGAGGCAAAUUUGCUCCUUUCCACCCACAGCAGGUGGAAAAAAACACAGUAUAUUGUUAUGUUUUUCUUCUGCAUGCGCUUCUCAAAGCACUGGGGAAGUAUUUAUUUUAAACUUCACAGUCUCUGUGAAGGGCACAAUUACAGUCACUAGCCCUGUGACAGAGAGAAACACUAAGAACCUGCUCAAGCUACGAGCAACUUACUACUGUGUAGUACAAGAAAGAAUGAAAUUAGCAUCUUCCGAAUGAAAUAUCCAGCAGCCUCCAGAAGGUGCUGAAAUCCUUUGACAUCUCCAAGACUCUUUCACACUUUUCAAACAAGCUUGUCACAGUUUCUCAGAGCAUCAAUGGAUCUGGUGAAACUGCAUAUUCUGCGACUUUAGUUUCACUCAAGCUUCAGCCAGGUCUUGCUUCAACUUGGCUGUCUCUGGUGUUCUGGUCAACUAGGAAAUUGCAUUAUCUCAUUCUAAUUAAAUCAGCUUUUCAUCUUCAGCUGGAAGUUUUCGUUGGGUUUUGGUCUUGCCUGUCUCCAUCAGGCUGCUGUGAGUGAUUAAGGCAUUAGCACACCCCCCCCAGAGUGGCUGCAUUAAGCCAUGGGCAGAAGGGUUCCUGUGCCCGAGCACGUGGUGCUCCCUGAUGGGAUUGCUGGAGAUGCGAGGCCAAGCUGUGGGAUUUGCUGGCACUGGGUCCAUCACGCACUGCCCUUCCUCCCCUGUGCCUUUCCUGCCAGGGACUCGUGCUGGGCUGUGGGGUUGGAGUCUCACAGGGCGGCUCGGGCAGAGGAACCCCCUCAUAUCAGUGUCAGCAGAAGAGACAGGCACCAGAUUAAAUUCACUCUCAAAGCUUUCAAGGUAUUUUUUAACCCAUGACAGCUCCCAAGGAACAUGCUUGGUGGUAGCUCAGCAUCCCCAGCACCAGACUGGGCAGGAGUCUCCCUAUUUCUGCAGCCUCCUGGCUGCCAGCACCUUUAAUCCUCUGCCCACUGAUGUUUGCAAAGAGCCCCACACUGCAGCAGCCCUGCAAGGAGCAGGAGAAUCUGGGAGGCCAUCCAGGGAGGUGAUGGCUACAGGCAAGUGAAAGCAGUGAUGAUGACAUUUAUCUCCUCUGCUGGUGUCAGGUGGACUGAGAUUUUCCACAUGCCUGAGAGCUGGGCAGUGGGAUGAGGGCAGGCAGAUAGGGACAGGGUGCUGACUGCCCCGAUAGCGUGAGAAUGCGGCUGCACAGCCGGUGAUCAGACGGGAGCUGGGGGGUGUUGGUGAUGUGACACCUUCUGUGCAAGCUCCAGGGCUGCCACAGCCCCAUGUGGUACCUGAGCUGAGCAGGGUUGUGUUUUAUGGGCUGGGUGGGGGUGCCUGAGGAGGGGAUGAGUUCUUCCUCCAGCUGGGAUCAUAGAAUCACAGAAGGGUUUGGGCUAAGCUCUCCAUAGCAGAGGGGCUCCAGCCCUCAGAGCAUUUCCAUGGCCUUUCAUGGACUCAUUCCAACAGGUCUGUGUCUUUCCUAUGCUGGAGACCCCAGAGCUGGACACAGUGCUCCAGGUAAGGUCUCACCAGGGUGGAGUAGAGGGGCAGCAUCACCUCCCUUGACUAGGGGUAGGUUGCUGGAGGGUAUGAUUCAGAAAUAAAUUGAUGUAUGUAUAAUAUUUUCCUUUGAGG
Molecule: long non-coding RNA, 1752 nt
Filed under: Manacus vitellinus (golden-collared manakin)
Lineage: Eukaryota; Metazoa; Chordata; Aves; Passeriformes; Pipridae
Description: lncRNA (ENSMVIG00005000569.1)
Source: RNAcentral